GGAGAGGUGCCGGAGUGGCCGAUCGGAACCGCCUUGAAAGCGGUCGUAGCGAGAGCUACCGCGGGUUCGAAUCCCGCCCUCUCUGCC
RNAcentral lists this transfer RNA (87 nucleotides) under Nocardioides ginkgobilobae. RNAcentral's name for it is "tRNA-Ser". It matches the Rfam family "tRNA". Rfam says of the family: Transfer RNA (tRNA) molecules are approximately 80 nucleotides in length. Their secondary structure includes four short double-helical elements and three loops (D, anti-codon, and T loops). The record is from RNAcentral. RNAcentral also lists the same sequence under 1 other name. Lineage: Bacteria; Bacillati; Actinomycetota; Actinomycetes; Propionibacteriales; Nocardioidaceae.